Bombus terrestris (buff-tailed bumblebee) is the source of this 2323-nucleotide long non-coding RNA. RefSeq lists it as uncharacterized. Lineage: Eukaryota; Metazoa; Arthropoda; Insecta; Hymenoptera; Apidae. The record is from RefSeq and is a predicted model, not a curated record. The transcript has 3 exons.
AGAUUCCGUUUACGUUACAUCAUCGGUCUUUUAAAAGUAUGGUGCGCUCGAUCUAAGAUCCAAUUGCAACCAUCUGUUGUUCAUCAUAUCAGGUUGCGCGAGUCUGUAACGUGAAUCUGCCUUAUACUGAUAAAUUGUUACGACCUUCUUACAGUCGUUAAUUAGACCUACUUAAGCACCUUGUUUUAAUCUGAUCUCUUUACAGGCCGAUUCGAAAAUAAUAUGAACGAAAGUUCUCGUUAUCAGUUUCAGAUCUCGCUUAAUGAAACGUGUCUCGGCCACGCUUUAAAAUUAACGUAUCUUUAAAUUGAAACUGAUAAAUUACGCGAGAAGGUUAAACAACUUUUUGAUACUAUACCAUUUCCUUAGUGGGCUAUUUCGUUUACAUCGAAUCGCGGUAUUUACAAGGUCGAUCGGAUCCUUUUAUAGCUUUUCCUCUUGUUUCUCGUCCGAUGCUUUUUCGACGGUUUCGAAGAAGAUCUCUCGUUAGCCAACUGACUCCCAUGUAAUAUCGACCUUUGCCCCGUUCGAAUUCACGAUCGUGCCGUUCGUGGCACAGAUGCGGCAGCAACAAAGAACAGAGCGUCAGAAAUGCCGGUAUGCGCUCGAUUCUAAUAUUAGAGUUCGUAUGGGCCGCGUCUGAUCAGAAAAUUUCAGCGGCGUGGUUCGCAGUGUGUAGUGGGUCUACUGCACACGCAAACACGGGGAUAAUCAGCGCUAACUUGGCUCUAACUAUUCAUAGCACGUGCGCAAUGUCGUGCCCGGCACGUUGCCCAGAUCAGGCGUCAACUCGUAAUGCAGCCUCUGCUCUCUCGGUGCAUUUACCCAUACUACGUUGCAUGCUCGUGCACCGAUCGGCGCUGUAUUAUCGCGUUGAUCGUUGCCACGGUGCGAUUUGCUCGUUGGAUUUUACUCGUCGAGAGUAUUUACGAGACGCGAGACGCGAUAUCGCUCGGCACAGCGUUAAUCGUGCGUCAAAGAGUCGAUUUUUUGUAAUCGAGUUUUUAAGUUGGUUUAUUGAUGGGAUCAAAGUGGCAACGAUUGACAUCAACGGUGGCUCGGCGUAAUUACAGUUUAGGUACGUUCAGUGCAUUUCUCAGCGGGCCGACACCGCUAGUCCUGGCGAUCGUGCUAUUCUCACUGCGAUCACUUUCUUCUAGACAGAAAUGGCGAUGGAAAAGAUAUCAAGCAAACCCUUGGAAUUUUCUCCAACCAUAAUCUCCGGAAACAAAAUUCCAGGAUGUACAUUAACUGGGAAGAUUUCAAAUAAAACGUCGCAUUAAUAAUAUUGGUCUUUAACGAGUUAAAAGAAUAUAUGCAGAUAAUUUGAAAGAAAGGCUGCAAAAUUUAUUAAAUUAUUCUUCUAUGUAUAUAUACAUUAUUGUUGUUAUUAAAAUCCUAAAAAGAAAAGGUGAUAAAUAAGCCGGUAAGUUAUUAAAAUUAACAAUGUUCAAACCCAUACUCUCGAACUGUUCAAACCUUUAAAAAAACAAGGCUAAUAAAUUUGACCACCGCCGGAUAGAAAAAUGAAAGUAAAAGAGAGAAGAUAAUACGUUUACUCUGUUCACACAUACAUAUUCUCCAUAGGAUUGUCAAAUCUUCAUAAUGAAUUAACCGAUCCUCCCCAGUGAGUAGACGUUUUUAAAUGGCGAGCGAGUCUACCCUCUUGGUGGAUUAACAUAAAAAUAAAAAAUAAAAAAAAAAGCUACGAUGGAAAAAUGCAGAUCGUCGCGUUUUCACAGGAAAUUUGCAUGCGACGCGUAAAAUUUCUCUACGACCAAACGGCAACCACUCGGUUUCGCUGAAUUCGAUUCCCUUAUCAGUUUGAUCCCCUAUUUUCGCGUCGUGGAAAAUCAAGGUGAAGCGGGAACGCGGCUAGGGGAAUCGCGACACGGUGAUUUAAAACGGCAGAAUAGUCGAUGGCGAGUGCAGGGUCGUGGAGCGAGGAGGAAAGAAGAUUAUAAGUGUCGCGUUCCAUUUACUACUCUUCUCCUGUUUUAUCCAAAGAGGUUUUUUACGCUCGACUCGAGCUCCAGCUCCGGGCAAUAUCCAUAACAAAGUCCUUCAGUCCUUCUUGUCUGCUCAUUUUCCCAGAGACCCGUUAAAUAAAUCGCCCGUAAAAAAGAGACAGUUUGUUUUAAAUUUCGAGUAAAUUGGUGGAAAACCGUCCGUCCGUCGAUGUUACUUGUGAAAAUCGUUUACGUUUGCCGUUCGUUUUACCAACAGCAUAUACAUUCACGAUAAUAUCGAUAGAAAUUCCAUAUUUUUCCCCUUUCCUUUUUCAUAACGUAUUUGUAUUGUAUAUUUAUUGCAAACAAAAAAA